CCUUCUUUCCUGUCCAGCUCAGUUGCAAAGCAUCUGCAGUGUCCCCAGGACGACGUUCUGGGCAAGUGUCAGGAGAAGUUAUUUAACCAGCUGGAAGCAGGGUCAAGUUGGAUUCCAAACAGACAGAAAAAGAGUUGCGUAAUAACUACAUGAUGCAAGCAAUUGAAUUAUACAGAUGUCAUCAUCAGAAUGUGCUCCUUUUGUGGGGCAGCAGGAAGCCAAUCAGUUCAGACCAACUGAUAGAGUCAUCACUGCUAAUUUAGAAGCGCUUAGAAAAUCACUGCGUGGCCAUGCCCUGGAACCAAGCAACACAAUCCAUGUGCAUUUACUCAGAAGUGACUGCUGACCUCGUGACAUUUUACAAGGAUUUACUGGACAAGAUAUUCAUACACGCUAUGUCAGGUUGCUUGCCAAACCCAGCAGCGGCUGGUGUGGAAUUCCAUUUGCAAACCUGCGUGUUAAACCUCACUGGCCUGAAACAGAGAGACACGUGCCCAAGGAUCAGAAGAAAAGUUCAUCCAGAAGUAUGUGUGCCUCCCUUCAGUGAAGCUUGCUCCCUUGACUGUGGUUUUAAUUACCAUCCUCCUGCUUGGCCACCGUUCUCUGCACAUUCAAAAUAACAGAUGUAUUCAUUUGUAAGAAUGAAAACAGAAUAAUCAGUGUCUUCAAAGACAGCCGUUAAAGGAGCCAAAAUAAGAACAAGCGGCCGGUCCUCAUGAUGAGGCAAUGUCUGAUGAAAAGGGAGCAUUUUGUUAUGUGACUGAAAUGUCUACACUUGAAUGGAGGGGACUGAUCCUCCCCAACUAAAUUUGAUGGGCUUCAGCUCUCAUUAUCCCCAUCCAGCAUGGGUACAGGUGAUUGGAACUGAAAUACAAUACAUUUGGAAGACAUAAAAUCAGCAAGAGAAAGUUUCUUUUCUAAGAGAGACUUUCCUGGGACAGUCUCACUGAACUGAAUGCAUUGUAAUUUUAAAUUGACACGGAGCUUCUAUAGCAUUCCAACCUUGCAUUAUUAAAACCCUUCAUUUUUUUCCCUUCUACAAACCCUGGUAGCUGCUUGAUUGGAUAUACCCAAAUCUAUCUCCCAAGCAGUACACAUAAAGUAAAUCCACGUUUGAGCUUUGUUCGCACUGGUAAUUACUGCACUAUUGCACUAAUCAUUAAGACUAAUGCCUGCAACCAUAUUAAUAUUGCUGCACCCACCUACCCAAUCCUCUCAAUAUGUAAGAGAUCUCUCAUGGGGUUGUAGGAGGAGCAGCUGGGUAUGAGUAGAUGCAGGGACUCAGAUCUAAGCAUCAACAUCUGGGAUCUUGAUGAAUGAAGAACUCAGAGAACUGCUAUGAGUGCCCAAUCAUUUGCGUCAGUAUACAUGAGCUUCAGGGGGGACACGGUGGUGCAGCGGCUUAAUGACGCUGAAAGUUGCCGGCCAGAAAUGGUCGACGCUUCAGAGGUUCGAGUCCAGC
Non-coding RNA from Python bivittatus (Burmese python), 1462 nucleotides. The record is from RefSeq and is a predicted model, not a curated record. NCBI's taxonomy places the organism in Eukaryota, Metazoa, Chordata, Lepidosauria, Squamata, Pythonidae.